GACAGAGGGUGCAAACGUUGUUCGGAAUUACUGGGCAUAAAGCGCACGUAGGUGGUCCGCUAAGUCGCGUGUGAAAUCCCCCGGCUCAACCGGGGAAAUGCGCGUGAUACUGGCGGGCUUGAGAACGGGAGGGGUGAAUGGAACUCCAGGUGGAGCGGUGAAAUGCGUAGAUAUCUGGAGGAACACCGGUGGCGAAAGCGGUUCACUGGCCCGACACUGACACUGAGGUGCGAAAGCUAGGGUAGCAAACGGG
This 253-nucleotide ribosomal RNA is filed under the name uncultured bacterium. Its description in RNAcentral is "partial 16S ribosomal RNA". It matches the Rfam family "Bacterial small subunit ribosomal RNA", at positions 524 to 776 of the family's 1533-position model. The record is from RNAcentral.